AGAGUUUGAUCAUGGCUCAGAACGAACGCUGGCGGCGUGGAUAAGACAUGCAAGUCGAACGGGACACCAUGAGUAGCAAUACAAGUGGUGUCUAGUGGCGAACGGGUGCGUAACACGUGGAUACAUUCCGGGAAGCGGGGGAUAGCCCAGGGAAACUUGGAUUAAUACCGCAUGUGGUCGAAAGACUAAAGGCAGGGACCGCAAGGCCUGCCACUUCCCGAUUGGUCCGCGGCCUAUCAGCUAGUUGGCGGGGUAAAAGCCCACCAAGGCUACGACGGGUAGCUGGUCUUAGAGGACGACCAGCCACACUGGAACUGAGACACGGUCCAGACACCUACGGGUGGCAGCAGUCGAGAAUCUUUCACAAUGGGGGCAACCCUGAUGGAGCGACGCCGCGUGGAGGAUAAGGUCUUCGGAUUGUAAACUCCUGUCAUGUGUGAACAAGGUUGUCGUGUUAAUAGCAUGGCAAAUUGAUGGUAACACAAGAGGAAGAGACGGCUAACUCUGUGCCAGCAGCCGCGGUAAUACAGAGGUCUCAAGCGUUGUUCGGAAUCACUGGG
Molecule: ribosomal RNA, 560 nt
Filed under: uncultured bacterium
Lineage: Bacteria
Description: bacterial SSU rRNA
Rfam family: Bacterial small subunit ribosomal RNA
Source: RNAcentral